RNAcentral lists this ribosomal RNA (797 nucleotides) under uncultured fungus. RNAcentral's name for it is "eukaryotic LSU rRNA". The stretch from base 105 to 797 matches the Rfam family "Eukaryotic large subunit ribosomal RNA", at positions 1 to 667 of the family's 3401-position model. Lineage: Eukaryota; Fungi. The record is from RNAcentral.
CGGAAUCUAACCUUUGGUUUCCGGAAGUCGGUGUGAUAAUCAUGUUGCGCCGUCGUCUGACCUCAAAGUCCGCUUACAAUGGUCUUCGGACAACUUAUCAAAUUUGACCUCAAAUCAGGUAGGACUACCCGCUGAACUUAAGCAUAUCAAUAAGCGGAGGAAAAGAAACUAACAAGGAUCCCCCUAGUAACUGCGAGUGAAGCGGGAAAAGCUCAAAUUUAAAAUCUGGCGGUCUCGCGGCCGUCCGAGUUGUAAUCUGGAGAAGCGUUUAUCCGCGUCGGACCGUGUACAAGUCUUCUGGAAGGGAGCGUCAUAGAGGGUGAGAAUCCCGUCUUUGACACGGACUACCGAUGCUUUUGUGAUGCGCUCUCGAAGAGUCGAGUUGUUUGGGAAUGCAGCUCAAAAUGGGUGGUAAAUUCCAUCUAAAGCUAAAUAUUGGCGAGAGACCGAUAGCGAACAAGUACCGUGAGGGAAAGAUGAAAAGCACUUUGGAAAGAGAGUUAAACAGUACGUGAAAUUGUUGAAAGGGAAACGUUUGAAGUCAGUCGCGUCGGCCGAGACUCAACCUCGCUCCUUGCUUGGUGCACUUCUCGGUUGACGGGUCAGCAUCAAUUUCGACCGUCGGAGAAAGGUCGAGGGAACGUGGCAUCUCUCGGGAUGUGUUAUAGCCCUCGAUUCGGAUACGACGAUUGGGAUUGAGGUAUGCAGCGUGCCUUUAUGGUCGGGGAAUCAACCCACGUAACACGCUCAGGAUGCUGGCAUAAUGGCUUUAAGCGACCCGUCUUGAAACACGGACC